CGAUACUUGGUGUGAAUUGCAGAAUUCCGUGAAUCAUCGAAUCUUUGAACGCACAUUGCGCCCCCUGGCAUUCCGGGGGGCAUGCCUGUCCGAGCGUCAUUUCUGCCCUCAAGCACGGCUUGUGUGUUGGGUGUGGUCCCCCCGGGGACCUGCCCGAAAGGCAGCGGCGACGCCCGUCUGGUCCUCGAGCGUAUGGGGCUCUGUCACUCGCUCGGGAAGGACCUGCGGGGGUUGGUCACCACCAUGUUUUACCACGGUUGACCUCGGAUCAGGUAGGAGUUACCCGCUGAACUUAAGCAUAUCAAUAAGCGGAGGA
This 316-nucleotide ribosomal RNA is filed under the name Talaromyces sp. BAB-3937. Its description in RNAcentral is "eukaryotic LSU rRNA". The stretch from base 1 to 99 matches the Rfam family "5.8S ribosomal RNA", at positions 56 to 154 of the family's 154-position model. Lineage: Eukaryota; Fungi; Ascomycota; Eurotiomycetes; Eurotiales; Trichocomaceae. The record is from RNAcentral.